This 1810-nucleotide long non-coding RNA is filed under the name Salvator merianae (Argentine black and white tegu). RNAcentral's name for it is "lncRNA (ENSSMRG00000018704.1)". Lineage: Eukaryota; Metazoa; Chordata; Lepidosauria; Squamata; Teiidae. The record is from RNAcentral.
GUAACUCGCAUGAAAAGGCCCUUUAUUUUCUGGAUUCCUUGUGUGGACAAAACCUGCACAUUAACUAGCUCCUCUAAAAAUCAGAAAGAAAAAAACCCAAUACGGUCUUGUCUCAGAAACUUUUGCUGAUUUUACACAUUACAAGCAUUUUUUUUCCACCAAGGCGAAAUCCACACGUAUAAAGGGGUCCAUGACAGGGUUUUAGAUACAAACCCCCGCUAAGUCAACACAACGGGUCCACACUUUAAAUUCGGAAACUUCAAACUCGCCAACUGUCGCCCUUACCUGUUUCACAUGCCUUCGGUUCAAAAGUGACUGCUGCAUCUCGAAAGCCACGUUCCCUGGGCUCCCUUCGUCACCCCCACGCCCGGGGUGAGACAACAACAACAGCAACAACAACAAAAGCCCUUUUAUGUUAAGUAGGAAAACAAAAUGAAAUCCCCGGGCAAGAUGAUUCCGUUGCUAGCCAAAAGUAAGAAGUGUCCGCCUUGACCAAUGGAAUCCAACAGAAGGAGAAGAAAGUUUGGGACUUUAUAAACUCGGAUCGUUGCAAAAAUGAAAAGGGGAGUGGACUGGAGGGAAGGAAGAAGGAAUGAGAGAGGCGAAUCGCUGCAGAAGCGCAGCGCCCAAGUUUUGUUGGAGGGAGAAAGAAAGAGUGAACUGAAGGCAAACGGCUCCUCCUCCUCCUCCCCUAAGAAAUAACACUCGUGAGUCCCAGUGACGCUGGGAAAGUUUAGGGAAGAAGCUAAGAUUCAGGAAGGGGGGGGGGAGACUAGAAGGAAGGGAGAAGGGAGGGGAAAGAAAACGAGGGAGGGGAUUGUUGUCUUGUUUAGAAAACGAGGAGGGCCUGGAGGUACUGGCCGUCGGUGCUGUGGGGCGAUUGGAAGGCGCGGGCGGCUGCGUAGCUUGCGAGGGGGAGCUGCUGCUUGAGGAGCCGCCGCCGCCGACCUGGGAGUCACAGCGCAGGAAUGCUAAGAAUGCGGAGCGGCCGCCGCUGCCACUACGGCAGCGCCGGACGGAGGCGUCGAGCGAGCGAGAAUGGCACAAGUUGCUGGCAAGGCAGGAAGAAGAAGGGAAGAGAGGAGAAGACUGCAGCGGGACUCUCAGGCAGGAACGCGGCGAGCCGUUCCGUCCUCGGGCUUUGCAGGAGGGGCGCCAGCGGCCGCGUCGGUGUCCCCUUCGUUGCGCGCGCUUAAUCGCGAGAAAAGGAAAGAAACCUGAUCGGCGCCCCGUCAAGUGUGAACAGGCCUGGUGUUGGGGGAGCGAGGAGGUGCGGAGUGGAAUGGUUGAAGGAUACAGGCCGGGGGAACCGGGGGAGAGAGAGGGGGGGAUGUGGAAAGCUUGGAAUGUGGAGAGCCGGCAAACGCAUGAGUCCUUUGUGGAGGGGAAAUUUCGGGAGAAGGAAGUUGCAUUUGCGCCUUAGGAAAGUUAGGUUGGAGAGGCACCGUCUGGAGGGAAGUCAGAACGAAGGCGGUUGCUCCUCCUCGUCCGCCGCCACGGCAUGGAGAAAGAGGUGAAGCUUCGGUGGAUCUUGCGGCCGAAGGGGUUUAUCGUGCUUCGUCCGGCCCGUGUGUGCGAUCACGUUGUAAAGUUUCGCCUGUCGCCGGGCCUGCUUUUGCCCCUCGGCCUGGCGUCUUUCCCGGGCCUUGUGCUGUGCCGGCUUUCCUGCUAACGUCGGAAAGUUUUUGUUAAACAAAAAAAGGAAAAGUGCAGAAAUCUUGCCGCGUGGAGAGAGACCAAACACCCCCACCCUCGCACGUCCUGCUUAAAACAAACACUGAAAUAAACAAGACACAAUAAUGAUUAUUCA